GGCGGCCGGGCCAUUGCAGCAGUCGAUCAACGCAUGCUGCCUGCAAUGACUCCCGGCCACC
This is a non-coding RNA of Pseudomonas putida, 61 nucleotides long. NCBI's taxonomy places the organism in Bacteria, Pseudomonadati, Pseudomonadota, Gammaproteobacteria, Pseudomonadales, Pseudomonadaceae. The record is from Rfam.